This is a small nucleolar RNA of Mastomys coucha (southern multimammate mouse), 144 nucleotides long. RefSeq annotates it as small nucleolar RNA SNORA48. The record is from RefSeq and is a predicted model, not a curated record. NCBI's taxonomy places the organism in Eukaryota, Metazoa, Chordata, Mammalia, Rodentia, Muridae. The transcript has a single exon.
CUCCCCUGGAAUGGGCCAAGAGUCACCUUGUUGGUGGUGUUGCUCUUAUAUUAGUCAGGGGCAGAGCAGAGGGCAGUCCUUUGUUUGCCCUAGCUUGAUUCCUGGCUUAGUGCCUAAAGCUGUGUGUGUGUGUGAGAUAUAUAU